This 511-nucleotide ribosomal RNA is filed under the name uncultured bacterium. RNAcentral describes it as "bacterial SSU rRNA". It matches the Rfam family "Bacterial small subunit ribosomal RNA", at positions 336 to 865 of the family's 1533-position model. The record is from RNAcentral.
CUCCUACGGGAGGCAGCAGUGGGGAAUCUUGCACAAUGGAGGAAACUCUGAUGCAGCGACGCCGCGUGAGCGAUGAAGCCCCUCGGGGUGUAAAGCUCUUUCGACGGGAACGGUAAUGACGGUACCCGGAGAAGAAGCUGCGGCUAACUACGUGCCAGCAGCCGCGGUAAUACGUAGGCAGCAAACGUUGUUCGGAAUUACUGGGCGUAAAGAGUGUGUAGGCGGUUUUGCAAGUUUGGUGUGAAAUCUCCCGGCUUAACUGGGAGGGUGCGCCGAAAACUGCAAGGCUCGAGUACUGGAGAGGAAAGCGGAAUUCCUGGUGUAGCGGUGAAAUGCGUAGAUAUCAGGAGGAACACCGGUGGUGUAGACGGCUUUCUGGACAGUCACUGACGCUGAGACACGAAAGCGUGGGGAGCAAACAGGAUUAGAUACCCUGGUAGUCCACGCCCUAAACGAUGCGUACUUGGUGUGGGCCAUUCAUUUGGUCCGUGCCGGAGCUAACGCGUUAAGU